UACGAAGGGGGCUAGCGUUGCUCGGAAUUACUGGGCGUAAAGGGCUCGUAGGCGGCCAACUAAGUCGGAUGUGAAAUCCCCAGGCUCAACUUGGGAACUGCAUCCGAUACUGGAUGGCUUGAAUUCGGGAGAGGGAUGCAGAAUUCCAGGUGUAGCGGUGAAAUGCGUAGAUAUCUGGAGGAACACCGGUGGCGAAGGCGGCAUCCUGGACCGGUAUUGACGCUGAUGCGCGAAAGCCAGGGGAGCAAACGGG
Molecule: ribosomal RNA, 253 nt
Filed under: uncultured bacterium
Lineage: Bacteria
Description: partial 16S ribosomal RNA
Rfam family: Bacterial small subunit ribosomal RNA
Source: RNAcentral